CGGGGGAAAAUUUAUUGCUAUUAGAUGAGCCUAUAUUAGAUUAGCUAGUUGGUGGAGUAAUAGCCUACCAAGGCAAUGAUCUAUAGCUGAUCUGAGAGGAUGAUCAGCCACACUGGAACUGAGAUACGGUCCAGACUCCUACGGGAGGCAGCAGUGGGGAAUAUUGGACAAUGGGCGAAAGCCUAAUCCAGCCAUGCCGCAUGAGUGAAGAAGGCCUUUGGGUUGUAAAGCUCUUUUAGUGAGGAAGAUAAUGACGGUACUCACAGAAGAAGUCCUGGCUAACUCCGUGCCAGCAGCCGCGGUAAUACGGAGAAGGCUAGCGUUAUUCGGAAUUAUUGGGCGUAAAGGGCGCGUAGGCUGAUUAAUAAGUUAAAAGUGAAAUCCCGAGGCUUAACCUUGGAAUUGCUUUUAAGACUAUUAAUCUAGAGAUUGAAAGAGGAUAGAGGAAUUCCUGAUGUAGAGGUAAAAUUCCUAAAUAUUAGUAGGAACACCAGUGGCGAAUGCGUCUAUCUGGUUCAGAUCUGACUCUGAUGCGCUAAGGCAUGGGGAGCAAAGAAGAUUAUAUAUCC
This 569-nucleotide ribosomal RNA is filed under the name Wolbachia sp. sw2. RNAcentral describes it as "bacterial SSU rRNA". It matches the Rfam family "Bacterial small subunit ribosomal RNA", at positions 198 to 787 of the family's 1533-position model. Lineage: Bacteria; Pseudomonadati; Pseudomonadota; Alphaproteobacteria; Rickettsiales; Anaplasmataceae. The record is from RNAcentral.